This is an RNA transcript of Nymphaea colorata (pocket water lily), 2302 nucleotides long. RefSeq lists it as uncharacterized. Lineage: Eukaryota; Viridiplantae; Streptophyta; Magnoliopsida; Nymphaeales; Nymphaeaceae. The record is from RefSeq and is a predicted model, not a curated record. The transcript is spliced from 2 exons.
CGUCUCCUUGUGUUGGAGGACCAAACAAACCUUUGCCUCCAUUUGUGCGUCAACAAUGUUUAGAUAUGCUUCAUGCUUUACGUCAAAAGAGAAUACAAAAAGAAAUUGAAGAUGUAGAUGUAGGCUAUAAUGUGCCUUUGGAAGAUGAAGAAGAAGAGGAUGAAGCUUAUGAAUGUGAUGAUGAAGACGAUAGCAGUCUAAGAACAGAUUUGGAGACCUCAAGAGGUAGAGAUCGUAGAGGAAAAGGGAUUAUGUAUGAAGGAGGUCGAUCUGGCAUAACGGGAAGGAAGAGGAGAGGCACAACAGAUGUUAGGGCCAGGCGUGGUAUGCGACCACCUAGUGGUAGAGUUCCUACUGGUAGGUCUAGUGUUGGCUCUAUUAAGAGUUUUUUCCCUUCAUAUACCAGCCCAGGUGGUCAGCCGCAGAUUCGUGCUGCUAUGACAUCUAAAGAUAUGCUAUAUCAUGCACAAAAGCAGGUAGGGAAAUGGUUUUAUGAUGCCUGUAUUCCAUUCAAUGCAGCUAAUUCUUUUCAAUUCCAAGCCAUGGCAGAUGCAAUUGCUUCUAUAGGCCCCGAAUUCAAAAUGCCAUCAUAUCAUCAGUUGAGAGGCAAAAUUCUUCAGGAUACAGUCAAAGAAGUGUCUGAGCAUUGCGAUGAGUUGAAAUUAUGUUGGAAGGAAACAGGUUGCUCCAUUAUGUCAGAUGGUUGGACUGAUACAAGGUCAAGAACACUUGUAAAUUUUCUUGUGUAUUGCCCUAAAGGUACAAUGUUCUUGAAAUCUCUUGACUUGUCUGAUGUUCCUAAGACUGCUGAGAUUUUAUUCAAUGUUUUUGAUAAUGUUGUACAAGAAGUUGGACCUGCAAACAUUGUACAGUUUAUUACAGAUAAUGCUGCAAAUUAUAGAGCUGCAGGAGAUUUGUUAUUUCAAAAGUAUAGAACAUUUUAUUGGAGUCCAUGUGCCACUCAUUGUGUUAAUCUAAUGCUUCAAGAUCUUAAUGAGAUGCAUGAUAUGAAAUCAGCCAUUGACCAAUGUCAAGAGGUAACAAAAUUUAUCUAUAAUCAUGCAUAUGUAUUGAGUUUGAUGAGAAAAUUUACAAAAGGAGUUGAAUUAAUACGACCUGCACAAACUAGAUUUGCCACAAAUGUAUUGACUGUGCAGAGUGUGGUGAAACAAAGAACUCCUUUGAGACAGAUGUUUGCUAGUGAAGAAUGGGCUGCAUAUCCACAUGCUCAUAAAAGAAAUGCUUCUUUAGUUGUGGAUAUUAUAUUCAAUAACGUAUUUUGGGAAUCAUGUGUGAAGCUAUUGAAGGUUUGUGUUCCAUUAGUUAAGGUUCUCAGGUUGGCUGACAGCGAGGACAGACCUUCUAUAGGGUACUUAUAUGAGGCUAUGGACAAAGCAAAAGAGGCAAUUCGAGACAACUUAAAGGAAAAGAAAAAGUUAUAUAUGCCCAUAUGGAAGAUUAUAGAUAAAAGGUGGACUGGACAGCUUCAUCAACCUCUUCAUGCAGCAGCUUAUUAUCUAAAUCCUGCAAUUAGAUUUUCUCCUACAUUUAAGAAGGACAGAGAAGUCAUGCAUGGUUUGUUAGAUUGUAUUAAUGUGUUAGUGGAAGAUUCUACAGAACAAGAUGCUGUGCACAAUGAGUUGGAUCUAUAUGAUAGUUGUUUUCGGAACAUGGGACUACCUGCCGCCGUUCGAGCCAGGACAACGAUGCGCCCAGGUAAAUACAUAGAAAUUUUUAAUUUACUUUGCAUUUGUUACAUUUGAUUCUUUUAAAACUUUCACAUUGAUUUGUUAUAUUUUUGUUUAGAUUUGUGGUGGAAUAGGUAUGGGUUUGAUUGUCCAAACCUAGCACGUUUUGCAGUCAAAGUCCUCAGCCAGACAUGCAGUGCUAGUGGAUGCGAAAGGAACUGGAGUGUGUUCCAACAUAUCCAUAGCAAAAAAAGGAAUAGGCUCGAACAUAAAAGGUUGAAUGACCUUGUCUUUGUUCGAUAUAAUAUGAGGUUGAAACAAAGAGAAUUAGAAAAAUCAUUAGCAAGGAAGCACACAUCUCAGUUCGAUCCUAUCAGCUUUGAAAAUUUUGACGAUCUAGAGCCAUGGAUUGAAGAAGAACCAGCUACAAUAUUUGAUGAUGAAGAUCUUGAAUGCUUCAACCUUGAAGUUGAAGCAACAGAAGGCUUUGUUGAUGAAGGAGAGUCUGCUACUGCUGGUGCUGGUGCUGAAUAUGUUGGUGAAGAUCUUCCAAUUCUUGACGAUGAAGAAGAAGAAGAAGAUGAAGAUGAAGAUGAUGAAGAUUAUGAAUGAUG